GUUUUCUUUGCCUUCUCAGUCUUUAUGGCAUAAGGACUGCCAAUGGAAUUUAAGGAGUCUGCUAACAUUGUUUCCAGAAAAGCUUUUCUCUUUCUGAUUAAAACACCCAGACCACUCAAAUGAUGAUGAGCUGCCAAGCUAUAAAUCGUUGAAGAUUCUCUGGCCAGGGAAGCUAUGAAAAAGGAGAGAACUGGUAGGGAGAAAAGAUAGGAGAGCAACACACAUCUUUGCUUCAGGGAUCCAAGGAGGACCACCACAUGAUGAUUUGAAGCUGAACACACCUAUGUCUUGGCUUAUGUCUACACAUCAAGGAAUCAGCUGAGGCUGAAAUAAUCGUGUACCUGGACUAUCUGCGGCUGCCUUUUCCAGCACCUUCCUGUGGACUGCUCCAGGGCACUCUCUAGAAGUCAGAAUGGACUCCUGCUGAUUCUCUCGCAUAUUUGUCUUGAAUAAAAGAAUGGUGUAUGCCAGUGGAUUUCAAAGCUUCUCACAAAACAUCUCCACAUCUGAAGUCUCAAGAGUUUAUGUCAAGCAUUUGUAUUACUUACAACUAAUUAAAUAUACCAUUCCUGUUUUACAACAUGAACACAUUUGCUGAUAAUGUUGUAACUUGUAUUAUUAUUAUUUGUUUGAAACAAUACAUUAAUAAUUAAUGACUGGUCAGUAAUAUAAUACUAAUAUCUUGACCUAUUUAGAAUAGACAUUAAUUAUCACAUGUAUAGAAAAUAGUGUGAUUUUAAAUUUUUUUUCACAAAAAAUAAUUUGGAAGCAUGUUAAAGUGCCUUAUUUCCAUAUUAUUUAUUUACGUGAUUUGGAGAAUAUUGUUUAAAGUUUUAUUUUACAAGACUAAGCAGACUGUCAAAAAAGGUAGAUUAUGAAUACUAAAGAAAAGGCAAGAGAGUUGGCAUUUAGAAGUUAAUUGUAGUGAUUUGUUGAGGUUAUCUAAGGGAAAAUACCUGAUGACCCCAUUAUUGGAUUUGAAUAUAAAAAUGCUGGAUGCAUUAUAUGUGGCAGCCUGAGAUCUAUUCUUCUUAUCAGAGAGAUAUAAAAUUACCGAGAUUUAACUGAAGGCAGCUGUCAAACUCUGUAAAAGAACUGAUAUUCUUCAGAGGAGUGCAAAUUCUAUGUCAAAGACACAAAACAGAUUCUUAUUGCUUAAUAAUCUCCCACAGUUCAAUAGUGACAGAAAUUGGUUUCCUUUUUGCCCCCUACCCCUACUGUCUUAUUUCUACAAUUUUCUCUACAGUUACCAGUUUUGGGAUGACUGAUUCUGGUGUUUACUAUAUGAUCACUUGAUCAAUGGAGACCUGCCCAUCCUGCUUCUGACUAUCGUGAUGUCAUAGUAGAGCUGCUUUAGAUGAAUCCGAAGUACUCACUCCUUUCUCCAAUUUCUUCUUAUCUGGUUUAAGAAAACAGUAACUUAUUUUUGGCAGAGUCUAUCAAAAAUGAGAGGAAUUGUCUAUAGUAUAAUUUUAGUUUGAGUACAGAGAAUAAUAAAAAUUAUUGCUAAAAUAAAAUCUGAUUUAUCUAAGUAUCAACUCUAUUUAACUUUUUCUUUAAUAACGUAACUAUUUUAUGCUGCAUAAAGCAGAAUACAGGUUCCAGUGCUCGUUUGGCCACUUAGAACCUCAUCUUCUUUAUCUAUAAAAUGGAAAUACAAAAACUGUGUUGGGUUUAAUAGGGAAAAUAAAAUAAUGUACAGGAGAAUAUCAUGUAAUAAUGUUUUAUAGAAAAAAUAAUUAUUUUAUCUGUUAGAAGAUUUUUUUCUUGUCAGUUAAUGCAUUACUAAUGAUUUACUUUUAAAAAAUUAAAUAUGCUAAAAAAGUAAAUAAGUCAAAGCCAUGAUGAGGUUCACCUAUAUUUUGAAACACUCUUUUAAGCAUGCCAAAUUAGUGACAUGGGCUUUCAUGUGUAUCUUGCCUUCACACACUUAAAUGCAUAACCUUGAAAGUAAUAAAAUUUGCUGAGUUGGCUAUUUCCCUGCUUCCUCAGAACAUAUGUCAACUGAGCAACAGAGAAUUCACUGUAGCAAAAAGAAAGAUAGUUCAGUGAAAGCUUGUUUAAUAAUUAAUCCGCUGAGUAAGUGUCUGAAUGUUUGAUAAAUAUUUAGUCACCAUGUGUAUCAG
This 2126-nucleotide long non-coding RNA is filed under the name Homo sapiens (human). RNAcentral describes it as "HSALNT0137870". Lineage: Eukaryota; Metazoa; Chordata; Mammalia; Primates; Hominidae. The record is from RNAcentral.